Molecule: ribosomal RNA, 492 nt
Filed under: uncultured bacterium
Lineage: Bacteria
Description: partial 16S ribosomal RNA
Rfam family: Bacterial small subunit ribosomal RNA
Source: RNAcentral
AGUGAACGCUGGCGGUAGGCCUAACACAUGCAAGUCGAACGGCAGCACAGUAAGAGCUUGCUCUUACGGGUGGCGAGUGGCGGACGGGUGAGGAAUACAUCGGAAUCUACUUUUUCGUGGGGGAUAACGUAGGGAAACUUACGCUAAUACCGCAUACGACCUACGGGUGAAAGCAGGGGAUCUUCGGACCUUGCGCGAUUGAAUGCGCCGAUGUCGGAUUAGCUAGUUGGCGGGGUAAAGGCCCACCAAGGCGACGAUCCGUAGCUGGUCUGAGAGGAUGAUCAGCCACACUGGAACUGAGACACGGUCCAGAGUCCUACGGGAGGCAGCAGUGGGGAAUAGUGGACAAUGGGCGCAAGCCUGGUCCAGCCAUACCGCGUGGGUGAAGAAGGCCUUCGGGUUGUAAAGCCCUUUUGUUGGGAAAGAAAAGCAGCAGGUUAAUACCCCGCUGUCCUGACGGUACCCAAAGAAUAAGCACCGGCUAACUUCGUG